Molecule: long non-coding RNA, 814 nt
Organism: Camelus dromedarius (Arabian camel)
Lineage: Eukaryota; Metazoa; Chordata; Mammalia; Artiodactyla; Camelidae
Exons: 3
Source: RefSeq, a predicted model, not a curated record
GCCUACCGUGGGCUGGCCGAGGCUGCGUCUAUGGCAGAGGAUACUCGGACCAUUUCAAAUCAGGCUAUCAGAGGAGCGAUGGGUGACAAAGAAGAGCCAGAGCUGGGAAGUAAGGUGUGAUUCGGAAGAUGGCCAUUGAGAUACCACAGCACCUGGGAUGUACUGUCACGUUAGAAUGAUACCGAGGGAAGCGUAGACCACGUGGGAAGAAGUGGAGGACGUCAGCCCAGUCCAGUGAGCUGUGCUGUAAGGUCAGGUGUGGAGUCUGAAAUGAGGUUAGCGUAAAGGACCGAGAUGAUGUGGUCACUCAGAAGCCAUCACCCCGAGAAGAUGAGCCGGAAUCUUCUGUACCUGAAAACAGCAAAGCUGCUUUUUUAACCUGAUUGAGGUUUGUAUCACAUGAUAUCGCUUACAUGUGGAAUGUUUAAAAAUGGGACCAAUGAACUUAUUUACAAACAGAAUAGACUCACAGACAAAGAAAACAGACUUGUCGUUCAAAGGGGAAAGUGAGGGAUGGGGGAUAAAUUAGGAGUUUGGGAUUAACAAAUACGCAUUACUGUAUAUAAAAUAGAUAAACAAAAAGGACCUACUGUAGAGCACAGGGAACUAUAUUCAAUGACUUAUAAUAACCCAUAAUGGAAAAGAAUCUGAAUAUAUAAUGUAUGUAUAACUGAAUUACUUUGCUGUGCACCUAAAAUAUGUCUCCUGUCUGCGUCCAGAUUUCCCUCUUUUUAUAGGGACAAGAGUCACAGUGGAUCCAUUUAGGAUCCACCCUAACCCAGUAUAACUUCGUUUUAGCUUGAUUACAUCUUCA